UACGUAGGGCGCAAGCGUUGUCCGGAAUUAUUGGGCGUAAAGAGCUCGUAGGCGGCUUGUCACGUCGGGUGUGAAAGCCCGGGGCUUAACCCCGGGUCUGCAUUCGAUACGGGCAGGCUAGAGUGUGGUAGGGGAGAUCGGAAUUCCUGGUGUAGCGGUGAAAUGCGCAGAUAUCAGGAGGAACACCGGUGGCGAAGGCGGAUCUCUGGGCCAUUACUGACGCUGAGGAGCGAAAGCGUGGGGAGCGAGCAGG
This 253-nucleotide ribosomal RNA is filed under the name uncultured bacterium. Its description in RNAcentral is "partial 16S ribosomal RNA". It matches the Rfam family "Bacterial small subunit ribosomal RNA", at positions 524 to 776 of the family's 1533-position model. The record is from RNAcentral.